CAGCGGCGCGGCGGCCCAGCCGCCGUGAGGAAAGUCCGGGCUCCACAGGGCAGGAUACCUGCUAACGGCAGGCCGAGGCGACUCGAGGGAAAGUGCAACAGAAAGAUACCGCCGCCGGAUCACCGGGAGGCCUCCCGGCAGACGGCGGUAAGGAUGGAAAGGCGAGGUAAGAGCUCACCGGGGCGCAGGUGACUGCGCUGCCAUGUAAACCCUAUCCGGAGCAACACCAGCUGGAACGAUGCGGCGGCCCGCCGGGUUCCGAAAGGUGGCUUGAGGCGCGCGGCGACGCGCGCCCUAGAAAGAUCGUUGUUCGCGACAGAACCCGGCUUAUAGAUCCCCUCC
This 342-nucleotide RNase P RNA is filed under the name Candidatus Anaerotruncus excrementipullorum. RNAcentral describes it as "Bacterial RNase P class A". It matches the Rfam family "Bacterial RNase P class A". Rfam says of the family: Ribonuclease P (RNase P) is a ubiquitous endoribonuclease, found in archaea, bacteria and eukarya as well as chloroplasts and mitochondria. Its best characterised activity is the generation of mature 5'-ends of tRNAs by cleaving the 5'-leader elements of precursor-tRNAs. Cellular RNase Ps are ribonucleoproteins. The record is from RNAcentral. Lineage: Bacteria; Bacillati; Bacillota; Clostridia; Eubacteriales; Oscillospiraceae.